AUGGGUAUGCAGUCUAUGAUGGAUGUCCGGUGCACGAACCUUGUCAACCCUGUAUGCGACUGGCUUGGUGAGAUCUACGACCCCGCCUCCAGGGAAUUCGUGAUUCCGGGAUGUGGAAGACUACCGUUGAACGAGGAAUCCGUGUUCUACACUUUGGGUGUGCCUCGUGGACAUAUGAAAGUCCCGUACGAGGCGGAUCUGGGAAAUGUGAAGAACAUGAAUUGGUGUAAGUUUAUUGCCGACUUCCUGCAUGAUGCAUUCUCAAGCAAGAUGUACCAAAAGGGUUGUCGACUGCAUUUACUGGAGAGGGCACCUGUUGAGCAUCUAAUAGGGCAGUUUGCAUCUGGAAUGACCGGCUUGCUCAGGAAGUUGGUUGAGGGGUGGACGUCCCUCAGUGGCUCUGACAGCGACGCGGUUGCGAGGCAGUUCACUUCAUUUGUCCCAGAAAGUACACACCGGCCAACCGGUUGCCAUGGCUGGUAUGACUAUAAUAGUUCCCAAGAGCCUGCUGACACACAAGAUGAACUAGGUGGAGAUGCUGGUCUCAGCAAGGAUGACGACGAUGUCAUGGAGAAUGUGCAAGAGGACACCAAUGAUGAUGAUCAUGCUGAAGUUCACGCAGGUGGUAACAAGGGCAAGGAUGCAACAGAUGUCCCCCAACCGGAGAAAGUCAAACAACACACGGCUGCGAGAGGCGAGGGGGUUUUGCCAUCAAAGAGGAGGAGGGCUCUAGAGGGUGUUGGGCAGGGUUCUGCUGGCAAGAGGUCUAGGACCGACCCCGUAGCUGCCAGGAAGAGCGAGCCGACAGCUGGUGGACGAGUAGUUACGAAGAAACAGGCGCCAACGCCAACCCGUGUUUCUGCUCGGUUGAACAAAGGCGCCCUCAUUGCCGGUGACACCCCUUCCACCAGGUCAUCUCCUUGCACGACGAAGACCAACACCGGGGAUCCUGUCGUGUUGCCACACAUGAGGAAGACAGUCAAGAAGGUGAAGAAGACUACUACGCGCGGGGCCAAGCAUAUCAGUAAGGACCCGCUCGAAUGCCUGCAUUCAAAGUUGUCAACAGGGGGCAACUCAGAUGUACAUGAGGCACCAGGCGACAAUACUGCUACUGCACCGUUGACCGCUCCCACCAACUCUGAUGCAAGUGGUCGACCAUCUCCGCCGGCUGCGGAUGUGCAGGCUAGAACAACAGGCAUCCGUACAUCGGGGAGUGACGAGUCGGUAUCUCCCAGGACAGCUGAAAUAUUGCCAACUCUUCUGGCAAUGAAGGAUGCUGCUGUGAGCCAUGCCACCCCAUCAGCAAGCAUUGAAGUGGACGCUCCCGAGACGAACCUAAGCAAGGAAGAUUCCCACUCAUCUGACACUGAUUCCAAGCGCGUGCGUGGUGGCACUCCUGUGUCCACGACAGAAGCGGCUGAGGCGGCAGUUCACAAGGAUAUGCCAUCUACAGGUGAGAGUCCUAGCACAACAGCUCCAGCUCCUGUCGGUGCAGAUACUGCUAAGGCGACUGUUUCGCGUGCUGGUCUUCCACCUAGGCGUCGUAGCCCCCGCAAGCAACCAACAGACAUACCCAACGCACCGGCUGUAGCUAGGAGCAGGAGAGACGAGUCUGGUUAUGUUCCUGCGUCCACAUUGUUCCCGCCACCUGCCAAAAGCAAUGUGAUGGAGAAACCGGAAGACCGGAGCACAACUGAUGCAGGUGUCAAGCCGGGCACGAGUGACGCAGGUGAAAAACCAGAGCAGACUGCGCCUUUACCUGCAGUGGAAAUUCCUAGCAUAAAUCUACGCACUUCCAGGCUCCUAGUCAAUGUCGGUGUCCCCUACAGCCCAAACAAGAAGAUUGUCAUGAAAGCUGCGGCUGAUACCGCUGACAACACGCCCCGCCCUGCAAAUAAGGCUGAUCAUUCUGUAGCGGCCGAUUCAGAUAUGUUUGUCGAUCUUUCACCCUUGAAUUCUGCCCCGCAAGUCGUUCGUGGUCCGGCCAGUAGGAAUGAGAGGCACCCAAUGGCCUUUACCCCACCGAGCUUCAGCCUUGGCAUUAGUCAAGAUCAACCGGUGGUGCAAGAUCCUAUGCCAGUUGCCUUUGCUUUCCUAGGAGGCAUGCCCGCAAUGAUGGCGCAGUCAAUGGUCGAGGGCAGGAAGGCUGUCAAGUUCGCAGAGCCGAUUGUGCAAGCCACCCCUGAGGAGAUUUCACCGUCACUUGAUGAAGCUUACCGCAUGAUUGAGGAGGCAGCAUUGCAGAGGAGGUCCUCACGAGGGCAAGGGCAAUCAAGUUCCAACGUGCCUGCAGAUACGGUAUCUGAGGAUACCAUUAGGAGUGCCACUCCUGGUUCUGUGAGGCAGCAGAGGGUAGUUCACCCACCUCCCGUGGAAGACUACGAGCCCGAAUUCAGGGCCACUAAGGAACAGACCCAGCUGUAUGAUAUCGUCAAGCGGUUUGGAAAUGCGAGGGCCAGCAGCAAGCACAUGAAGGAGCUGAAAGCGUAA
Molecule: ribosomal RNA, 2490 nt
Filed under: Triticum aestivum (bread wheat)
Lineage: Eukaryota; Viridiplantae; Streptophyta; Magnoliopsida; Poales; Poaceae
Description: partial small subunit ribosomal RNA
Source: RNAcentral